CAGGCGCACCCGCCUGCAACAACGGCAUCUUUUUGCUUUUACCUUAAUCCGUGCCCACAGGCUGUACUUCGACCCUAGAUCUGGGAUGUUUAAUAAAGAUAAUGUUCCCCGAAUCGCCUCUUGUGUAUAAUUGCCCCCCCCUCUCAACGCCCGAGUCGAUUUUUAGUUGAAUUUUCAGGGCUUCAGUCGACCAACAAUUUCUUUGGUUGAUUACAGCCCUAAUAUAUAUGCACUUUGA
This is a long non-coding RNA of Melanotaenia boesemani (Boeseman's rainbowfish), 238 nucleotides long. RefSeq lists it as uncharacterized. The transcript has 3 exons. The record is from RefSeq and is a predicted model, not a curated record. NCBI's taxonomy places the organism in Eukaryota, Metazoa, Chordata, Actinopteri, Atheriniformes, Melanotaeniidae.